Molecule: ribosomal RNA, 553 nt
Filed under: uncultured bacterium
Lineage: Bacteria
Description: bacterial SSU rRNA
Rfam family: Bacterial small subunit ribosomal RNA
Source: RNAcentral
ACACCAGUUCACUCCUACGGGGGCAGCAGUGAGGAAUAUUGCCCAAUGGGGAACCCUGAGGCAGCAACGCCGCGUGAACGAAGACGGCCUUCGGGUUGUAAAGUUCUUUUCGUGGGGGACGAAACGGACGGUACCCAGGAAUAAGUUCCGGCUAACUACGUGCCAGCAGCCGCGGUAAAACGUAGGGGACAAGCGUUAUCCGGAUUUACUGGGCGUAAAGCGCACGUAGGCGGACUGGUAAGUUGACCGUGAAAGCUCCCGGCUUAACUGGGAGAGGUCGGACAAAACUGCCGGACUUGAGGCUGAGAGAGGAGAGCGGAAUUCCCGGUGUAGUGGUGGAAUGCGUAGAUAUCGGGAGGAACACCAGUGGCGAAGGCGGCUCUCUGGCUCAGAACUGACGCUGAGGUGCGAAAGCGUGGGGAGCGAACGGGAUUAGAUACCCCGGUAGUCCACGCUGUAAACGAUGGAUACCAGGUGUAGGGGGUCAUUAACCCCCCCUGUGCCGCAGCUAACGCGUUAAGUAUCCCGCCUGGGGACUACGGCCGCAAGGUUA